UAUCCAAUGCUUGCAGAGGACAGAAGCGGUGCUGGAACUCUUAGAACUAGAGUUACACAAGGUUGUGAGCCACCAUGUGGGUGAUGGGAACCAAGCCCAGGUCUUCUGCAAGAGCAAGUGCACUUAACUGCUGAGCCAUCUCUACAGCCCUCAGCUUAUUGUAUCUUUUAAUUAAUGGUUUUUGUCUUGUUAUAAACUAAUAGAUGAUGAAUUUAGAAACUUGGGAAAACACAACACAUGUUUUAUGGUUUUGGCCUCCAGUUCUACCAUUUAGGUAAAUCUGCAUUAACAUUUUCAUGUUUUCCUUCUCAUCCUGUUUCUUACUCAUAAUGUAUAAGGAUACUUACAAGUACAUUAUACAUUAUGUAAAUACAAUUAUACUUAUCCAUAUUUGUAGUUUUGUUCACUUUCUCGUGGAAAUAAAAUUUGCUUAAAUUUUUUUGGAAAACAAUUUUUGUCAGGAGCCUUAAUAUAUACAGAUUUGUUUGUUCAUUAAUUAUUCAUCUGAAAACCUAAUGAUGCACACAAAUAUUUAUGUAUGAGCUCAUCAUAGCAUUCUAUAAAAGCAAUGAAAAAUGAAACUAAGAUGUAAUGAGGCAUUAAAUGUUUUGUUUUUCUAAGAGUUUACCACAAAAUUGUUAAAACUUUUGCUUUCAACCAAUAGUACUCAGAGGGGACAUUAGCACAAAUAUGUGCUAAUAUAAUUAAUAUAAUAUAAUAUAGCAAUAUAUAGUUUAUUGCUAUAAUCAUUAAUACAUACAAAUAAAAUUACAUAUAAAAAUGUGGGAAAUCCAAUCUGUGUACUUCUGGGUAUAGCUAUGUUGACUCUUGGUCUGCUUUCAGAGUAAAAGUUAUAUGCAGUGUAUCAAUACAAGGUUUUGGGCUGUUACUAUAAUAAAGACUUGAGAUAAUCAAUAUUUAAAGAGAAAAGAUUUAGUGACAUUUUAUAGCAUUGUCAGUUGACACUUGUUUGGGGGCUUGUAAGGGAGCCCUACAUUAUGGCUAUGGGUGUAGCUAAGCAAAUCCACUUACCUUUUGUCUAGGGAGCAGGAGAAAGGAUUAGGAACUGGCUGAUGUCAACUGUUCCUUAAAGGUCACAGUUCUUUAAGGUGUCAUAGCCUCCCAAUAGUGCCAAACUGGGAAUAAAACUUUAAAGAUUCAAGCUAAGUACAUAAUUUCAUAAAAGCAUAUGACUAAUGUAGGAGCCCUGCUCUUCCAUAUACAGAAAUUCAGUGUUAAGGAGAUACAAGGUUCUAGCAGUGAUUGGUCUACUGAUCACUCUAUCACAGAAACUUGUGAGUGACAGAAAUGUAGAUAAUAUUUAUGUGGUGAUAUUGUGUUCCCCAAUAUAUUGUGCACACUAAUAAGCUUAUCUGGGGUCAGAGAACAGAACAACCACUAGAUAUAGAGGCCAGAAAAUGGUGGCACACACACCUUUAAUCCUAGCAUUUCGAAGGCAGAGAUCCGUCUGGAUCUCUGUGAGUUCAAAGCGACACUGGAAAUAGCCAGGCAUGGUGACAUAUGCCUUUAGUCCCAGGAAGUGAUGGCAGGAAGCAGAAAGGUAUAUAAAGUGUGAAGACCAGAAACUCUAGCCUGGUUAAGCUUUUAGGCUUUUAGCAGCAGUUCAGCUGAGAUCCAUUUGGAUGAAGACUCAGAGGCUUCCAGUUUGAGGAAACAGGAUCGGCUGAGAAGUUGGCAAGGUGAGGUUAGCUGUGGCCUCUUCUGUCUCUCUGACUUUUCAGCAUUCACCCCAAUACCUGGGUCCGGGUUUGUUUUUAUUAAGAAGACCUCCUAACAAUGCGUGCUACAUAUUUAUUUUUUUCUUUCUUCUGUUUUUAUCUUCCAGACAUUCUAUGUGUUUCUUCCAUAAUCAGAAUAAUGGUGAUUAUUGUAGUGGUAUUUGCUCUGCCCAUGACCUUGGACUAUAUGGCUGAAGGAGCCUUUCUACAUGAGAAUGAAGAUAGUAUUCUGGAAAUGGCAGAGCAGAGAGGUGGAGAAGAAAAGUAUGAUGUCAUUACCAGAGCCAACAAUGUCAGCAAACCAUGUACUUCAUCACGAGAGCUAAUAUGGAGAUCAUUACAGAAAACUACAAUCAAUCAAAAUGCAGAGUUGUGGAGCUCUCAGUUCCAGUGGACACAUCUACAAAGCAACUACCAUACCUAAGGCUCAGGGAAUACUGAGGACGUGAGGCUAGGAAAGAUUGCAAGAGGAUCAGUGAGCUUGUGACACUCUGCUAUUACACCUUUUGGUUCUACCACAACAUGACUUGAGACAGAGGCAUGGUGGGUUCCAGGCCAAUCUGGGCUUCCUGGCAAUUAAUUCCAAGCUAGCAUGGAGUACAAAGUAAAAGCUGCCUGAAGCAGUAAGCAAACAAAACCAAUCAAACAACUAGAGUGACUUUUGCUUGUGAUACCUGGUGAGUCACUGCCCACACCAAGCACAUUGGAUGUGAAGGUCCAACCUGUGUCCACAGUGUUAGACAUGAGAUAUCAGGGAACAGUUCCAGCUUUCACAAUAGGCAUUCCCUGAAAAUGCCAGCAGUCUCCUGUGCAAGAAAGUACUGUUGGUCACAGGGGCCAUUCAAAUUUCCUUUCUCUAAAAAGAACAUAACCACUAGGAUCUCUGUUCAUUUCGAUAAUUUCCGUCUAUAAAAAAUUAGGAUCUCUGAUUUCCUCCCAGAAUAUAUAAUACAAACUUUCUUAUUUUAAAGUAUCAAAUCUCAAAAGACUCAAAGUAAAAUUAUACAAAGUCACCAAAACAGUAUCCAUUAUUUUGGAUAUAUGGAGUGACUCUCCAUGCUUAACAAAAAUUUAUUUCUAAGAUAUACAGCUGGGAAAAAAAUUCCCAGAGAUUUGUUGUUUGGGGCCAAACAAAAUUAAUAACCAAUUUGUGAAAAACAAGACUAGAGAAUUAAUAUUUCAUUCCCCUCCCCAUUUACUAAUCACUAACAGAUUUUAUUUUCCUAUGAAAAAAUAAUUAUGAGUAUAACUUCUUGCUAUGAGUGCUCAGGCAUCUUUCAUUAAUUUUAGGAUUAUUUAUAUGCACUUUCAACAAAAUUUGAGCUUUUAUUUACCAAUUAACAUUUUUAUUAAUGUUUUUCCCAUAUAAUAAACAUAAGUUUUGAAACACUAAACAGUAUAACAUAAAUAGAAGCAGUUAUCAUCUGGGAAAAUGGAUAUGAUACAGGUAUUGACUUUGUUCCAGUGAACAUAGAGAUUUAUCGACCUGGAAGAUACAGUCAAUAUUUGCCCUGAGAGAUAAUAAAUCUAGAUGUUCAACAAAAUAUAAAGUCAAUAUUUGUAUUAAUACUUAUGUUUUGAAUACCUGUCCAAAAUCUCUGGACAUUUCACUGUGGUUGAAUUUGUUGAUCCUGGAAAAGUGUUUAAUUCUAGGUAGACCUUGAAGCAAAGUUUGAAGCUAAGACUAAAAUAAAUAUCAGUGAAAACUUCAGAAGAAGAUUGGCAAAAAUUCCACUCUUAUUUUUUCCAUUUGUAACAGUGUCAUUUUUAAUGUAUAAAUUUUAACAAUGUGACUCAUUAAUAUGUGUAAUUUAUUUAUUUAAUACCAAUGCACUAAAUUAUAAUUCAUAUUUAUAAUACAUAUGCAACUGACAAGGCACUAGAAAAUACACAAAUAAAAUGUUGCUUAUAUCAGAUUCUAACUGCUACCUUCUACUGUUUUUAGACUUGUGGAGUAUUUCUUUGAAAUGUAUCAGCGGCUUCUUAAGUACAGUGACCGUAAUGUUGCUCAGUUGAUUUCCUCCUCAGGCAUAAUCAUUUUAUUAGUGAAGCUAUAUGAUUGAUGAGAAUAUGCUCUUGGUUAAGGCAUACCAUUUGUAUAUAAAUUGCCUAUGGAUUUAGAGCCAAACUUUCCAGUAAGAACUUGCAAUCAUCAAAACUAGGAUUAUGAACUAAUAUUCCUCCUUGUCAACUUCCUGUCCCUGGUUAUCUACUUUCUAAGUCCUCAGGGCUAAUAGAUUCAGAGUUCCUUGACUUUUCUCUGUCCUUGAUCUACCUUUGGUGUGGAAUGAAUAUCUCGACUUGUUCACCUAAUUUUUUUCCCUCCAUCACUUUUUUUUUCUAAAAAGAGAAUUCCAAAACUAGAAACCAGUUUUAGGAAAUAGACAGAGUAAUACAAACUAUCAGGGGUGGAAGAAAAUAUUGGCUGUUAACAACACAAAGAAAUAUAUAGUUUACAACAUUAAAAAAUUGCCAAUAUGAUCAAUGACAACUGGCAAUGGUGGAUUUAUUUACAUUGUUUAAACUUAUAUGGCCAGACCUUAGGGGAAUUUCAGUUUAAAAAAAUAACUCCAGUAGUUUUUUUUCCUUCCUGUCCCCCAAUAAAAGCUGAAACAGAGGGGUGGGUUCUUCAAAUUUUUUUUGCUCAUUAAUCCAGUCAAUCUGGAGUUUGCAUGCAAAUGAAAACUAUAUAAGCAGUUUUGUUUAUUUCAAAUGAAAUAUAUUUGUCCCUUUGUCAUUUUUACUAUCCAUCCAUGCCACACUCUCUUCUGUAUAAGGUAGUCCAAUAAAAAUACAACUGUUUUGUUCUAAAAAUAAAAAAAAUGCUGUGCUUCCACAAUUGAUAAAGAAUGAAGCAUUACUCUUCUUCUACAACUCUCUUGGGGAAUGUACUA
Molecule: long non-coding RNA, 4633 nt
Organism: Peromyscus californicus insignis
Lineage: Eukaryota; Metazoa; Chordata; Mammalia; Rodentia; Cricetidae
Exons: 4
Source: RefSeq, a predicted model, not a curated record